This is a long non-coding RNA of Ostrea edulis (European flat oyster), 2496 nucleotides long. RefSeq lists it as uncharacterized. NCBI's taxonomy places the organism in Eukaryota, Metazoa, Mollusca, Bivalvia, Ostreida, Ostreidae. The transcript is spliced from 2 exons. The record is from RefSeq and is a predicted model, not a curated record.
UUUGAUGUUAAUCAAACCAUUUUUAAUCAACACAUAGCAAAUAUUCAAUAUACAAUGUAGGUUAGAAUUAGAAAAUUAAAAGAAGCUUAAUUUGAAUACAGGCGCGUCAGAUAAGAAAUUAUUGAAUGUUUUCCGUCCAUUACAAUCGGGAGAGAAGCUAUAUAAUCAGCAGCUUAUUGUGGAGAAGUCGAAUCGUAAAAACAGGGCUGUAUGUCGGUCAGUCCGCUGAAAAAUAUCAAACAGAUAAUGUUAUAGAUCAGAUCUAGGAGAUUAGAUUCAUAUUCUCUGUUAGUGAGGGUUUUUUUCCCCUUGUAGUUUCUUUUUCCCAUCAUUUCUUUUCAUUUGAAAAAUCAUCAUAUAGAAUUUCCAGUUUCAAAAUUGUAUGGUGCUGUAUUUUGAAGUAAAAAGAAGAUACUAUACCGUUGGUUCCUCUACUUUUCUCUUUUUUAAUGUGGAGAUGGGGUAGGAGAUAUGUCAUAGUUCACCAUCUGUGCAUUGGGAUUGAUGCUGUUACAUAAAGUAAGAUAUUCUACAGAUAAAGGUUACAGUACUUAUAAACUAUAUCAAAGUAAACCAAUAGAUUUUAUUUGUGUAUAGAUUGAUCUGACUUACCCUGGAGGCGUUUGAGGAGGUAUCGGAUCGUGACCGCCUUUCUCCGGCCUGUUUAGUAAAAUUAUUAGUUUUUAUGUCAAGAUAUUGCAUUCUUUAUUGAAGAUAAUAAUUAAAACAUCACAGUUUAUCUUUCAUAACUGUUUCUUACUUUUUAUUUCCAAUAAGUAAAUAAUGACUUACUGUGAGUUCUUGCUAUGGCCUUUGUUAUUUUGAUUGUUGUUGUUUUUGUGUUGGACAUUGUUGUUGUUGUUUUUGUGUUGGACAUUGUUGUUGUUGUUUUUGUGUUGGACAUUGUUGUUGUUGUUUUUGUGUUGGACGUUGUUGUUGUUGUUGUUUUUAUGUUGGACAUUGUUGUUGUUGUUUUUCUUUUGUUGGACAUUGUUGUUGUUGUUUUGUUUGUUGUUGUUGUUCUUUACGGUGGGUUUGUUGUGAGUGUUGUUAGUUCCAUGGCUUUCACUCUCGAGCUUGCCGUAGUUAUUAUUGUGUGUUUUCUUUGUGGUUUUCUUCUGAUCUUUAUUCUCACUGCUUCUGCUUUCACUAGGUAAUCUGUAAUCAAUGUAGUAAAAAAUAAACAUGAUCAGAAAACAUCAGACAUAAAACACAUUUUUCAAUAAUCCAAAUCUCCGAAAAUUAAACUAAUAAUCUUGAUAGAAAAUGAGUCAGAGUGAUAAUCCUUUAUCUCACUACAUAUAAAUGGUAACUAUAAACCCUUCGUCAGAAUAUUCUUACAUAUUUGAAUUACGUGUGUUUUAUAUCUAAUUACACUCAAUAUACGUGCACACACAUGUAAUUAAAAACUAAACAAUAAUGAAUGAGAAAGUAGAUAGAGAGAGAGAGUCAUUCAGUAUGUAACUAACUGCGCCAUUGUUACAGGAUGGUGAUGCUUAGUGAUAGAAGCGUGCUCUGGUGUUCGUAUUAUAUCAUAAAAAAGCUUCUCGUCACGUGAUAACGGAGGGGAAAAAACAUUUCCUUCCAUGAUGAAGUAAACAAUUAUCUUAUAUAUAUAUAUAUGUGUGUGUGUAAGACUCUAAAGUGCGAUGGUCGCUCCAAAGUGCGAUGUUGCGAAGUUCAGUAACGUUUGUGACGUUACGUCAUUGUGACGUCAUUCUUAACGUCUUUCAAAAUGAAAAAAAAAAUGCAACAUGGACGACAGUGACGGCAAGGUUUACACUGCUGAGGAGUGUGAGAACGGCAAAACGCAUUUGUUGUCGAACUCUCGACUUCGCCCAAACAUUCUUUAAUUCAUGAUCAUGUAUUACUUGUGGUGCCGGUACAGGUAAUAAUUUCCUGAGGGUAUGCUAUAAUGCAAAACAUUCUAGGCCUAUAUGAUUUCGCGUUGGAAAAAGCUUGUGUUUAAUAACAAGACAACGAAAUAAGUUUUUAUCCUUAUGUUUUGUGAAUGGAUUUUGCACUGAUAUCUUGGUGAAACACACGAUCCAGUCAGGAGCGGACUUCCUUAAGCUUAAAAGUUGCAAGUGAAUGAAGUGUGUUCUAUUUUAUGUCUCCUAAUAAAACCAUGGAUUUGACAAACCUAAAUGAGCACGUGGAGCAAGGAACUAUCAGAAAGCCGGAAGAGCCAGCUCGAAAAUCUUCAAGUGUUUGAGAAUUUCACCGCGCACAUGAAUCUAAAGUUCUGCCACACGUUAGAAGGAGCCUUGUUCUCGAAGAUCAAAACGUUGAAAAGUUUUCAUUUUGCCUUCUGAAGCAAAUACAUUUUUAUUGUAUAUACACAUGUAGACCAUGUUCGAUUCCCAACCACUUAAAAUUUGUGAUAUCUGCAUGGAAUUAUUAAAACUGAGCAUGGUUUGACGUAUGAUAAUCUCUUCAGGCAUGAUGGUUUACAUUUCACAAAGCUGUUCAAUGACAAUAAAGACAAUAAGAUGU